GCGCUCGCUUCCGCAGCACACACACUAAACUUGGAGUGAUACAGAGAAGAUUAGUAUGGCCCUGGGUAAGGAUGACGCACAAGCUUGCGAGACUCCAGAGAAAGGG
Molecule: small nuclear RNA, 106 nt
Filed under: Neogale vison (American mink)
Lineage: Eukaryota; Metazoa; Chordata; Mammalia; Carnivora; Mustelidae
Source: RNAcentral